GAAACAGUUGCUAAGACUGGAUAGGAAAUUAAAAGGCAUCUUUUAAUUUUUAAAAGACCUUUUUCGGAAGGUAUGCUUAAAGAGGGGCUUGCGCCACAUUAGUUAGUUGGUAAGGUAAAGGCUUACCAAGACGAUGAUGUGUAGCUGGACUGAGAGGUUGAACAGCCACAUUGGGACUGAGACACGGCCCAAACUCCUACGGGAGGCAGCAGUAAGGAAUUUUUGGCAAUGGAGGAAACUCUGACCGAGCGACGCCGCGUGAACAAUGAAGUACUUCGGUAUGUAAAGUUCUUUUAUUGAAAAAGAAAAAAUAGUGGAAAAACUAUCUUGACAUUAUUCAAUGAAUAAGCCCCGGCUAAUUAUGUGCCAGCAGCCGCGGUAAUACAUAAGGGGCGAGCGUUAUCCGGAAUUAUUGGGCGUAAAGGGUGCGUAGGCGGUUUGAUAAGUCUAUAGUUUAAUUGCAGUGCUUAACGCUGUACCGCUAUAGAAACUGUCUGACUAGAGUUAGAUAGAGGCAAGCGGAAUUCCAUGUGUAGCGGUAAAAUGCGUAAAUAUAUGGAGGAACACCAGAGGCGUAGGCGGCUUGCUGGGUCUUAACUGACGCUGAGGCACGAAAGCGUGGGGAGCAAACAGGAUUAGAUACCCUGGUAGUCCACGCCGUAAACGAUGAGUACUAAGUGUCGGGUUUUGGCUCGGUACUGAAGUUAACACAUUAAGUACUCCGCCUGAGUAGUACGUACGCAAGUAUGAAACUUAAAGGAAUUGACGGGACCCCGCACAAGCGGUGGAUCAUGUUGUUUAAUUCGAAGAUACACGAAAAACCUUACCAGGUCUUGACAUAAUUUUGCGACAUUAUAGAAAUAUAAUGAAGGUUAUCAGAAUUACAGGUGGUGCAUGGUUGUCGUCAGCUCGUGUCGUGAGAUGUUAGGUUAAGUCCUAAAACGAGCGCAACCCUUGUCGUUAGUUGCGACCACAUAAUGGUGAGCACUUUAGCGAGACUGCCAAUGAAAAAUUGGAGGAAGGUGAGGAUUACGUCAAAUCAUCAUGCCCCUUAUGAUCUGGGCUACAAACGUGAUACAAUGGCUUUUACAAAGAGUAGCUACAACGUGAGUUUUUAGCCAAUCUCAAAAAAACAGUCUCAGUUCGGAUUGAAGUCUGCAACUCGACUUCAUGAAGUUGGAAUCGCUAGUAAUCGCGAAUCAGCAUGUCGCGGUGAAUACGUUCUCGGGGUUUGUACACACCGCCCGUCA
This 1250-nucleotide ribosomal RNA is filed under the name Candidatus Phytoplasma phoenicium. Its description in RNAcentral is "bacterial SSU rRNA". It matches the Rfam family "Bacterial small subunit ribosomal RNA", at positions 153 to 1399 of the family's 1533-position model. Lineage: Bacteria; Bacillati; Mycoplasmatota; Mollicutes; Acholeplasmatales; Acholeplasmataceae. The record is from RNAcentral.